This 739-nucleotide long non-coding RNA is filed under the name Marmota monax (woodchuck). Lineage: Eukaryota; Metazoa; Chordata; Mammalia; Rodentia; Sciuridae. The record is from RNAcentral.
UGAUGACUUCAUUUUAGACUGCAUGAUUAAACAUUAAAUAUAUCAAUACAUCUGAUGAAGCUGAGAUUUGAAAAUAGCUGCAGUAUUUAUGUACACAUCACAUAGUAUGUAUUAUUUAUGUGUAUACGUAACCUAAAAGGAGCUUAUGUUUGCUACAGAAGAAACCUGCUGAUAUUUUCAAUGUUACUGUAAGAAAUCACUAGACCUUAUAUCUUUUAAAAUAUUUAUAUUUGUGCUCUUUCUAGAAAUGUAAAAUUUGUAUAUUAUCACUUAAUCAGUCUGUCUAAAACUAUUAUUGAAUCACAUGAAGUAGAUGGAUAUAUUGGUGCAAUGUUUGAGAAUCUACAAUGAGAGUGCUUAAAAUACAGACCACAUGACAGACACAAUUCUCUUUGGAGGCCCUAGUUAAAACAGAUAAGAAGUCAUCUGAAACUGUGAAGUUUUGGGGACGGACUAAAGAGCACAUCAAGACAGACACCACCAUUACAUUAAUUUAAUGUAAGAAAAAAAUUUUCAAAUACAAAGCAAGAGCCUGAACAGAUUAUAGACUCAACACCUGCAAUGCAAGUUUCUUCUCAUGUGGAUAAUUCUCUUCAUUGUGCUUCAAGUUGAAUAUCAGAAAGGAUUCUUUUUAUAACAACUGUUAAGACUCCUAAGCAAUGGAAGGAAGGAAGACUGGCAAAGAAUUAAAUCUUAAACAAAAUUUGUGACCCAUGAUUAGUAACUAAGUCAGUGUCCA